GUCGAACGAUGAAGCCGGAGCUUGCUCUGGUGGAUUAGUGGCGAACGGGUGAGUAACACGUGAGUAACCUGCCCUUGACUCUGGAAUAAGCGUUGGAAACGACGUCUAAUACCGGAUACGAGCUUCCGCCGCAUGGUGAGGAGCUGGAAAGAAUUUCGGUCAAGGAUGGACUCGCGGCCUAUCAGGUAGUUGGUGAGGUAAUGGCUCACCAAGCCUACGACGGGUAGCCGGCCUGAGAGGGUGACCGGCCACACUGGAACUGAGACACGGUCCAGACUCCUACGGGAGGCAGCAGUGGGGAAUAUUGCACAAUGGGCGCAAGCCUGAUGCAGCAACGCCGCGUGAGGGACGACGGCCUUCGGGUUGUAAACCUCUUUUAGUAGGGAAGAAGCGAAAGUGACGGUACCUGCAGAAAAAGCACCGGCUAACUACGUGCCAGCAGCCGCGGUAAUACGUAGGGUGCAAGCGUUAUCCGGAAUUAUUGGGCGUAAAGAGCUCGUAGGCGGUUUGUCGCGUCUGCUGUGAAAACUGGGGGCUCAACCCCCAGCCUGCAGUGGGUACGGGCAGACUAGAGUGCGGUAGGGGAGAUUGGAAUUCCUGGUGUAGCGGUGGAAUGCGCAGAUAUCAGGAGGAACACCGAUGGCGAAGGCAGAUCUCUGGGCCGUAACUGACGCUGAGGAGCG
Molecule: ribosomal RNA, 683 nt
Filed under: Salinibacterium amurskyense
Lineage: Bacteria; Bacillati; Actinomycetota; Actinomycetes; Micrococcales; Microbacteriaceae
Description: bacterial SSU rRNA
Rfam family: Bacterial small subunit ribosomal RNA
Source: RNAcentral